This 922-nucleotide ribosomal RNA is filed under the name Leuconostoc mesenteroides. RNAcentral's name for it is "partial 16S ribosomal RNA". Lineage: Bacteria; Bacillati; Bacillota; Bacilli; Lactobacillales; Lactobacillaceae. The record is from RNAcentral.
UUCGAAUUAAACCACAUGCUCCACCGCUUGUGCGGGUCCCCGUCAAUUCCUUUGAGUUUCAACCUUGCGGUCGUACUCCCCAGGCGGAACACUUAAUGCGUUAGCUUCGGCACUAAGAGGCGGAAACCUCCUAACACUAGUGUUCAUCGUUUACGGUGUGGACUACCAGGGUAUCUAAUCCUGUUUGCUACCCACACUUUCGAGCCUCAACGUCAGUUGCAGUCCAGUAAGCCGCCUUCGCCACUGGUGUUCUUCCAUAUAUCUACGCAUUCCACCGCUACACAUGGAGUUCCACUUACCUCUACUGCACUCAAGUUAACCAGUUUCCAAUGCCAUUCCGGAGUUGAGCUCCGGGCUUUCACAUCAGACUUAAUAAACCGUCUGCGCUCGCUUUACGCCCAAUAAAUCCGGAUAACGCUCGGGACAUACGUAUUACCGCGGCUGCUGGCACGUAUUUAGCCGUCCCUUUCUGGUAUGGUACCGUCAAACUAAAAUCAUUUCCUAUUCUAGCUGUUCUUCCCAUACAACAGUGCUUUACGACCCGAAAGCCUUCAUCACACACGCGGCGUUGCUCCAUCAGGCUUUCGCCCAUUGUGGAAGAUUCCCUACUGCAGCCUCCCGUAGGAGUUUGGGCCGUGUCUCAGUCCCAAUGUGGCCGAUCAGUCUCUCAACUCGGCUAUGCAUCAUUGUCUUGGUAGGCCUUUACCCCACCAACUAACUAAUGCACCGCGGAUCCAUCUCUAGGUGACGCCGAAGCGCCUUUUAACUUUGUGUCAUGCGACACUAAGUUUUAUUCGGUAUUAGCAUCUGUUUCCAAAUGUUAUCCCCAGCCUUGAGGCAGGUUGUCCACGUGUUACUCACCCGUUCGCCACUCACUUGAAAGGUGCAAGCACCUUUCGCUGUGCGUUCGACUGCAUGUAUA